CGAAGCGGAGAGGGCACACCCGGACCCAUACCGAACCCGGCAGUUAAGCUCUCCAGCGCCGAUGGUACUUCCCUGGUAACGGGGCGGGAGAGUAGGUCAUCGCCAAGU
Molecule: ribosomal RNA, 108 nt
Filed under: Chloroflexota bacterium
Lineage: Bacteria; Bacillati; Chloroflexota
Source: RNAcentral